CAGUCGACGAGAUUUUAUUAAUUGAUUACUUCGGUAUGAUUUUUCUAAAAUCGAGUGGCGGACGGGUGAGUAACACGUGGGUAACCUGCCCUUAAGUAGGGGAUAACAUUUGGAAACAGAUGCUAAUACCGUAUAAAUCUCAGAAACACAUGUUUCUGAGCUGAAAGGCGGCUUUCGAGCUGUCGCUUUUGGAUGGACCCGCGGCGUAUUAGCUAGUUGGUGAGGUAAAGGCUCACCAAGGCAGUGAUACGUAGCCGACCUGAGAGGGUGAUCGGCCACAUUGGGACUGAGAUACGGCCCAAACUCCUACGGGAGGCAGCAGUAGGGAAUCUUCCACAAUGGACGAAAGUCUGAUGGAGCAACGCCGCGUGAGUGAAGAAGGUUUUCGGAUCGUAAAACUCUGUUGUUGGAGAAGAACACGUUUGAGAGUAACUGUUCAGACGUUGACGGUAUCCAACCAGAAAGCCACGGCUAACUACGUGCCAGCAGCCGCGGUAAUACGUAGGUGGCAAGCGUUAUCCGGAUUUAUUGGGCGUAAAGCGAGCGCAGGCGGUUUUUUAAGUCUGAUGUGAAAGCCUUCGGCUUAACCGAAGAAGUGCAUCGGAAACUGGGAAACUUGAGUGCAGAAGAGGACAGUGGAACUCCAUGUGUAGCGGUGAAAUGCGUAGAUAUAUGGAAGAACACCAGUGGCGAAGGCGGCUGUCUGGUCUGUAACUGACGCUGAGGCUCGAAAGCAUGGGUAGCGAACAGGAUUAGAUACCCUGGUAGUCCAUGCCGUAAACGAUGAAUGCUAGGUGUUGGAGGGUUUCCGCCCUUCAGUGCCGCAGCUAACGCAUUAAGCAUUCCGCCUGGGGAGUACGAUCGCAAGGUUGAAACUCAAAGGAAUUGACGGGGGCCCGCACAAGCGGUGGAGCAUGU
Molecule: ribosomal RNA, 918 nt
Filed under: uncultured bacterium
Lineage: Bacteria
Description: bacterial SSU rRNA
Rfam family: Bacterial small subunit ribosomal RNA
Source: RNAcentral